AUUGAACGCUGGCGGCAGGCUUAACACAUGCAAGUCGAGCGAGCGGCGGACGGGUGUGUAAUGUCUGGGAAACUGCCUGAUGGUGGGGGAUAACUUCUGGAAACGGUAGCUAAUACCGCAUACCCUCAGAUGUGCCCAGAUGGGAUGAGCUAGUAGGGGGGGUAAUGGCUCACCUAGGCGACGAUCCCUAGCUGGUCUGAGAGGAGGACCAGCCACACUGGAACUGAGACACGGUCCAGACUCCUACGGGAGGCAGCGGUGGGGAAUAUUGCACAAUGGGCGCAAGCCUGAUGCAGCCAUGCCGCGUGUAUUAAGAAGGCCUUCGGGUUGUAAAGCACUUUCAGCGAGGAGGCGUUACUCGCAGAAGAAGCACCGGCUAACUCCGUGCCAGCAGCCGCGGUAAUUC
Molecule: ribosomal RNA, 406 nt
Filed under: uncultured bacterium
Lineage: Bacteria
Description: partial 16S ribosomal RNA
Rfam family: Bacterial small subunit ribosomal RNA
Source: RNAcentral